Loxodonta africana (African savanna elephant) is the source of this 1560-nucleotide long non-coding RNA. RefSeq lists it as uncharacterized. NCBI's taxonomy places the organism in Eukaryota, Metazoa, Chordata, Mammalia, Proboscidea, Elephantidae. The record is from RefSeq and is a predicted model, not a curated record. The transcript has 2 exons.
GGCACAAGCAGACCCGACUAAUCCAGCCCGGAGGCACGGAUCUGCCCUGCGGGCCGGGGUUGGGUUCGAGGAUCUGCAUGGACCAGGGUCAGCCGGGUCAGGGUGCAGGGCGGCCGGGACGAGAAUCGCAAGGUCCCCAACGCACUCAGUCCUCACAACAACCGGUUAUACAAGGCCUCCACCCCACUGAGCAGAGGAGGAAACUGAGUCAUAGGACAGCAAGGUCGCUGGCUCGUUGUGGGAACUGGUACCAAAGGAACCGGGCUGGAACCCCACAUCUGUCCGGGUCCAGGGCGGUGAGAUGCACUGCAGGUCUCCCCUCCCUGCGCCCCACUGCCUGUGAAACGCAUGCACAGCCGGGGACCACAGGGCUCUCAAACAACCCCUGGGCCCAGCCAGGGUCUGCUCUGGUGUGGAGAGGAAGAGCCUGCCAGUCACAGGGAGGAAGCAGAAACCGAAUUCGGCCGGGAGAAGGCCCAGUGCCUCCCCAGUGGUGAGGGGCCCAUAGGCAGAGCCCAGAGCCUCCUGGGUACAUCCCUGACAGACAGCAGGGUAGAGGGGUCCUGAGGUAUGGGGUGGGGAGGGGUGUGGCCUUGGACAAGAGUCCCCACUGUAGGCUGCACAUCCAUCACCAGGAGGCCAGCUCUGAUGGCGCUCCUGGGACCCAACUGUUAGAGCCAGGCAGACAGGCCACAGCAGUGCAGCCACUCCAGGCCACUGAAGCUGGGUGGGCUAGCCCCAAUAUGCCCAGGAUAGACACACUUGCAUGCCUGCUCCUCUCCCAAAGGGGGUCAUUGCACAGGAACACAUGGCCCAGCACAUACAGAGAAAAAGCUCCUAGGAUUAAGAGGAAGUUAGGGCAGCAUGGUCCAUGGAGGACUUGGGGACCAGGGGCCAGGUUGGGGACCACUGUCAGCCUUUUUGUUCUGUUGAGUUAUCACCUCCUUCACUAGUAACAGCAUUAUCUUAAUAACACACCGAAGUCCUGCUGUGUCCUCUGUAAGAACAGUGACCUUGGGCAGCACCAGCUGUGAACCAAGCAUCACACAAGUGCCCUGUGACCAUUACAUCAUCCAGUCUUGCGUCCGUCCUAUUGCAGUAACAAACGGGGCCCGGACGGACCCUGCAGUGGUCACUUGUGUCCUCGAGGCCCAUGGAGGGGCCUGCGGGGAGCUCAGAUGGGUGGUGAUCCCAGCAGGACACUUGUCCCUGUUCCCCACCACACAUGAGCAGCCUCAUGAGUCCAGGGUCUGUGCUGGCCCUGCUACAAGUGCCUGGCUGUGCUUUGCUCCUUGAUCCUUGGAGCCCCCAGAAGGUGCUUUCUGUGGUUAUCUCCUACAGGAACUAACGCACCUGUGUCCACCCUGCUUUGCUGGGAACAGCGUGACCCUCAGCAGAGACCAUGCCGGCUGCACUCUGCCCUGCUGCUAGGAACCGUGCACAGCAGCUGCGACGGCCUCAUCUGCUAUGUCUUACAUUACAGCACGAAGUCGCCUCCUGGUGCCCUGCCGUGCCCCUAGCCCCAAUGCCCAUGGCCCACCUGCCCGCAGGCCACCCAUA